UCUUCUUUAGCUUAGUUAAGAGUAUCAGUGUGAAGUUCUGGAGGUAUAGAAAUAUAGGAAGAG
RNAcentral lists this transfer RNA (63 nucleotides) under Schistosoma haematobium. Its description in RNAcentral is "tRNA-Phe". Lineage: Eukaryota; Metazoa; Platyhelminthes; Trematoda; Strigeidida; Schistosomatidae. The record is from RNAcentral.